This 584-nucleotide ribosomal RNA is filed under the name Bacillus safensis. RNAcentral's name for it is "bacterial SSU rRNA". It matches the Rfam family "Bacterial small subunit ribosomal RNA", at positions 173 to 747 of the family's 1533-position model. Lineage: Bacteria; Bacillati; Bacillota; Bacilli; Caryophanales; Bacillaceae. The record is from RNAcentral.
UUCCUUGAACCGCAUGGUUCAAGGAUGAAAGACGGUUUCGGCUGUCACUUACAGAUGGACCCGCGGCGCAUUAGCUAGUUGGUGGGGUAAUGGCUCACCAAGGCGACGAUGCGUAGCCGACCUGAGAGGGUGAUCGGCCACACUGGGACUGAGACACGGCCCAGACUCCUACGGGAGGCAGCAGUAGGGAAUCUUCCGCAAUGGACGAAAGUCUGACGGAGCAACGCCGCGUGAGUGAUGAAGGUUUUCGGAUCGUAAAGCUCUGUUGUUAGGGAAGAACAAGUGCGAGAGUAACUGCUCGCACCUUGACGGUACCUAACCAGAAAGCCACGGCUAACUACGUGCCAGCAGCCGCGGUAAUACGUAGGUGGCAAGCGUUGUCCGGAAUUAUUGGGCGUAAAGGGCUCGCAGGCGGUUUCUUAAGUCUGAUGUGAAAGCCCCCGGCUCAACCGGGGAGGGUCAUUGGAAACUGGGAAACUUGAGUGCAGAAGAGGAGAGUGGAAUUCCACGUGUAGCGGUGAAAUGCGUAGAGAUGUGGAGGAACACCAGUGGCGAAUGCGACUCUCUGGUCUGUAACUGACGCU